Non-coding RNA from Paramormyrops kingsleyae, 3253 nucleotides. NCBI's taxonomy places the organism in Eukaryota, Metazoa, Chordata, Actinopteri, Osteoglossiformes, Mormyridae. The record is from RefSeq and is a predicted model, not a curated record.
UGCGCAUGCGUUCGCAGAUCGGGCAGCCACAGCGUGCCCUGGAAUGUAUCGGCCUACGAGAGCGACGUCAUGUGAUCACACCAGCAUCAUGUAACUGAUUGUGUACAGUCGUAAAAAUAUGUUUUAUUAGUCUCAACGUAUAGCUGGUAAGAUACAAUAAUAGUAAUAGUAGAUAGUAUCUAUUACUAAAACGACUGGUGAUUCGGAAUCUGGUGUUUUAUUUAAAUAAUUUACAAAUAAGGCAUAUUUAUUCUUUCGUUUUCAUUUUCUGAAACAGGAAUGUCAAUGUGCAAGUCGUGCAAUGCUGGAUUCGGGCGCUGUGCUGCUUCGGCUGGUUUAUUAUAUGAUGGCUGCUUUGCAUUCGCUGCACUUUUGAGCCGCUUUGAUAUCGAAUAAUUGAAAAAGGAGCGAAUCGGUGUCCGCUAAAAUUUUUUGUAUUUCCUGUCGACCUCAGUCCGCACUUACGCCAUUGCCUGUAGGCAGCCAGCUAAUCGGGUUGCUGGUGUCAACAGGGCAGCUCGGUACCUUCGUCUCGUUAAGAGUAACUGGACAACUGCGGAAUGGCGAACGAACACGGGUAGCUAGCUGGUUUUCCCCCUGUAAUCGGAGAGUGGAUGAUUCCACUAACUCGUAAGCCAUUUUAAAGGGAGUGCAACGUUUUGUUACAGUAUUCAAAACCCAACAUAUAUGACAGCCAUCUGUCAGGGGAAGCAAAGUGUUUGACUCAUACUUUCAGGUGUGCUAGAGGUGUGAAGUCAUGGCAGGUGCAAAUUUUCUGGGAAAGAUGAAGACCUUCUUUAAGAAGGAGCCCACUGAAUGGGAUCUUAGCGACACGGCUAGUUUUGAUUUCUCCCAUGACCGGACUGAGGAUGAUGACGAGGACACCCCCACAUUUAAAAAACUGAAAGUUGUCAUUUCUGGGGAGCCGGAUUGCCCAGCGGGGCCCCACACCAAUGGGUCACUGGUAAACACGGUGGUGGAUGAUGACGAGUCGCUCUUGGAUUCAUCGUCCCUCGGCAGCGGUCCAGGGGUCAUCUUGGACCCCUGCGCGAACUGCACAAAGAGGAAAGAGAAGGGGAAGCGGAGCAGGGUGAUGAAGAAGCUGGGCUGUGCCGCCUUGCUCUAUUUCCUUUUUAUGAUAGGCGAGCUCAUAGGUGGCUAUGUCGCCAAUAGCCUAGCGAUCAUGACCGAUGCGUUGCACAUGCUGACGGAUCUUGUUGGUAUUGUUGUGUCCCUGCUUGCACUCUGGUUGUCUUCAAAACCCCCAACCAAAAGGUUCACCUUCGGAUUGCACCGUCUUGAGGUGGUCUCUGCUGCCAUCAGCGUGCUGCUGAUAUAUAUCCUGACCGCUGUGCUCCUGAAUGAGGCUGUCCAGAGGACCAUCCAUCAGGACUUUGACAUCGAUGGGGAUGUCAUGCUCAUUACCGCAGCAGUCGGUGUGGCCGUCAACCUAAUAAUGGGCUUCCUGUUGAACCAGUCAGGCCAUGUUCACUCCCAUGCUCACCAUCAGGCCUCGGGGCAGACAGCGCACAGCCACGGGAGCCUGGCGGUCAGGGCGGCUUUCGUGCACGCCCUCGGGGACCUGGUGCAGAGUGUCGGCGUGCUCGUGGCAGCAUACGUUGUGCGCUUCAAGCCUGAAUACAAGAUUGCAGACCCGAUUUGCACAUAUAUCUUCUCAGUGCUUGUCCUGUUUACCACAGUAAAAAUAGUAAGAGACACUGGGAUCAUUGUACUUGAAGGGGUUCCCCGGCAUUUGGAUGUGACGCGAAUCAGAGAAGACCUGCUGAAACUGGAGGAGGUGCAUUCUGUGGAGGAUCUGAACGUGUGGGCUUUGGCGCCGGACAAGACGGCCGCGCUGGUCCACUUGUCCCUGGUACCCUCCAGCAGUAGCGACUGGGAGGAAGUUCAAGCGAAGGCGCGGCACCUGCUCGCCAGCACGUACGGGAUCUCCAAGUCCACCAUCCAGCUGCAGCGCUACAGGGAGACGUCACCCGUCACAUGCGUCAGCUGUCAGCUGACCUGAGCGCAUGGGAACUCUACCGGACCUGUCCACCCGCCCCCCCUGUUCCUUUGUUCUGCAGGUUAAACUCAACGUGAUUUAUAAAGCGCACAAGAUGCAGUAGUUGUACUAAUGGGAUUGCCAAAGGACUUUGUUUUAAUGUUAAUUAAUGCACAUUCUAACAGGAUUUCCCUGGUCUUUAAAAUCGAAUGUGUGCAUUUUUGAACACACUGACAUACGACAGCUUGAAUGCCUGUAAAGUCUGCACAAACAUACAGCUUAGAGUUUCUCUGUUUUUUUGGACACAGUCAAAAGCAGUAUUUGUUGAACAUGCCAGAAAAUAUUAAAUGAGGAUGGUGAUUUCUUGUCAGACUCUUUUAAAGACUGAUUUCCAGCUAUGUUUCCAUGCUCUGAGACGUUUCACUAUCCCUGGUAUGGAUGGGUUUCUCGGUGACGAUGCCCAGGUCCGGGUGGGUUUUUCUCGGUGACGAUGCCCAGGUCCGGGUGGGUUUUUCUCGGUGACGAUGCCCAGGUCCAUCCCCAUGUCGGAUCCCUUUUGAGUUCGGCCAGCUUGUUGUCAGGAGGAAUGACACGUGUGUCUGCUUAUGUUUAAUAUUUUUGAAUAACAUGAACAGUAUAUUUGCAAUAAAAUUUAUGGUGUAGGAUAGAAAUAGCUGUGGAUGAGCUUCCGCCUUCCAGCACGGUGCUCAAAACGCAGAUUUACCACAGCUCUCCACUGAAGGAGAUAGCAUACAGUUUUACUCACUCAACAUUCAAAAUAUAAAUUUUAAAAAACUGCUGUAUGAAAACUUCCUGGACGAUACAUCCGUAAGCACUUAUGCACUCUAGAAACAAACAGCAAUGUCGAUGCACCAAGCAGUGAUGUAUAACAUUUUGAGAUACUCCGCAGUGUUGUAUGUAACAGGUUGGUAAAUCUGAGUAUGCAGUUAAAUAAAUGAAAACAUAUGUAGAAAACUUGUCAUCCUAACCAUUGUGAAGACUGGAUCAUUUUCUUUUUGCAAACUUAAACGUUUUACUUAAUUAUCUACCAUAAGAAUCGAAAUGAGGCCUGUUUGAGAUGUUUCAUAAUGCAGUUUGAAUGUUAGUACUUUAAAAUUUAUGCCUAUUCUAAGAAAUAUACAUGUUGACAUUUGCGUCAUUCUGCCUUUUUUUGCAUAGAUACAACUUACCGCUGAGCAUAGAAAUGACGACUGUGAUAAGUAAUUUGAAAUAAAUGGUAUUUUUUUUCCCAAA